AGAGUUUGAUCAUGGCUCAGAAUCAACGCUGGCGGCGCGCUUAACACAUGCAAGUCGCACGAGAAAGCCCGCAAGGGUGAGUACAGUGGCGUACGGGUGAGUAACACGUGGAUGAUCUACCUUCUAGUGGGGAAUAACCCUGGGAAACCGGGGCUAAUACCGCAUGAGCUCGAGAGAGGAAAGCAGCAAUGCGCUGGAAGAGGAGUCCGCGGCCGAUUAGCUAGUUGGCAGGGUAAAAGCCUACCAAGGCAGAGAUCGGUAGCCGGCCUGAGAGGGCACACGGCCACACUGGCACUGAAACACGGGCCAGACUCCUACGGGAGGCAGCAGUGGGGAAUCUUGCACAAUGGGGGAAACCCUGAUGCAGCGACGCCGCGUGAGCGAUGAAGCCCUUCGGGGUGUAAAGCUCUUUCGGCAGGGAAGAUGAUGACGGUACCUGCAGAAGCAGCUGCGGCUAACUACGUGCCAGCAGCCGCGGUAAUACGUAGGCAGCGAGCGUUGUUCGGAGUUACUGGGCGUAAAGGGUGUGUAGGCGGUUGUUUAAGUUUGGUGUGAAAUCUCCCGGCUCAACUGGGAGGGUGCGCCGAAUACUGAAUGACUUGGAGUGCGGGAGAGGAAAGUGGAAUUCCUGGUGUAGCGGUGAAAUGCGUAGAUAUCAGGAGGAACACCGGUGGUGUAGACGGCUUUCUGGACCGUAACUGACGCUGAGACACGAAAGCGUGGGUAGCAAACAGGAUUAGAUACCCUGGUAGUCCACGCCCUAAACGAUGCAUAUUUGGUGUGGCAGUUCAUUCUGUCCGUGCCGGAGCUAACGCGUUAAAUAUGCCGCCUGGGGAGUACAGUCGCAAGGCUGAACUCAAAGGAAUUGACGGGGCCCGCACAAGCGGUGGAGCAUGUGGUUCAAUUCGACGCAACGCGAAGAACCUUAA
This 929-nucleotide ribosomal RNA is filed under the name uncultured bacterium. RNAcentral describes it as "bacterial SSU rRNA". It matches the Rfam family "Bacterial small subunit ribosomal RNA", at positions 8 to 974 of the family's 1533-position model. The record is from RNAcentral.